UUAGGUUGAGCUGUAAUAAUUUUUUUACCUUUUCACCUUUCUCGCCAGCCAAUCCCUCAACGCCAGGGUCACCCUAAGAGCGACAGAGAGGAAAAGAUGAAGAAAAGGAGAGAGAAUGCUGACAGUCGAAGAUGUUUAGAGGUGAAAUACACAACGUUUCUGACAAUUCCGUUUAAAAGAGCCAAAGUGCUACUCACAACGUCCCCUUUUGAACCAACUUUUCCUUGGAAGCCCUAGAAAGAGGGAUUGACGAAGUACAUGAAAACAUGGUCAAACAUAAACUAAAUAAGCUAAAUAUUGAUUGAAGCCAGUAACACCAGAGAUCACAAAGUAGGAUGGAUGUUUCCUCACUCCUAAAAUAAAGAACAUGAAGAUACUUAAAUUAUCAUUUAUAUUGCUUAUUUAUAUUGCUUGCCUCAUUCAAUGAUUUACUGUGGAUUUCUUGGACUUUUAUUCAUGGUUAAACACUGCCCUCAAUAGGCAAGUAGGUGCAACUACAAUACUCUGUGAGCAUACUGGGCAAUAAUGCACAUUUUAGACACAAUGAUAUCUGUAUUUUUUCACGCACACAAAUGCACAGACCUUGUCUCCUUUAGUUCCACUAAGACCCUGGGCACCUGGGACACCAAUGGGGCCUCUCUCUCCUUUGCCUCCCUGUUAGGAGAUUAUAUAAAUAAUGUUACAAGUACAUCCUGCGCUCUGUUCAAAAUGCAUUUGAAAAAGACACAAUGCAGCUUACAGGCUUGCCGACGACUCCCUGUGGCCCAACUGCGCCCCGCUGGCCUCUGUCACCCUGCAGAUAUCAGCUGAGGUGAGUAGACAUAGUUUAAAGCAGUAGUUCUCAGUGUUUUAAUGUAAUAUUUUGGGUUUAUACCUUGGGUCCAGGGACUCCUUCCAUACCAGGCUCACCAGGAAGACCAGGCUCACCCUAAGAGGAUGCAAAAAUACAAAUAAUCACGCCACUGCACAAUUUAAGCUUGUAAUACCUUAAAAAGAGAGAAAAAAAAAACAUAAUUCUGGAAAUGUUUACCAAAGGUCCCGAGGCACCAGCCAUGCCGAUAUGACCCCUAGGUCCAGGUUCUCCCUGGCAAGAGAAGAUUACAUGAGAAAGGUAUAUACUGAAUAAGAAUGAAAACCUGAAAAAUGCUUAAAUUAGUAGUAAACAUCAGCUAAAAGAUAUACCUUAGCUCCAGCUCCACCCUUCGCCCCAGGGCUGCCAGGUAAUCCCUACAGGCAGAAUCAACACAAGUGAAAUUAAUGUAAAUCAAACCAUUCUGCACAAUACAGAGGAUAAAUCUGAAAAUGCAAGUGGGAAUGGCUGUGGGUAUUAGUGUACAGGUGCUGGUAAUAAUGUUGGUGCCUGAUAUAAUAAUAAUAACAAUGAAAACAGGCUAAGUGGCUUCCAUAGCUAUACACCCUACAGUGAUUGUGUGUGUGUGUGUGUGUGUGUGUGUGUGUGUGUGUGUGUGUGUGUGUGUGUGUGUGUGUGUGUGUGUGUGUGUGUGUGUGUGUGUGUGUGUGUGUGUGUGUAUGUGUGUGUGUGUGUGUGAUGGUGUAUCACAGCUGAGCAUAAAGCAGGCUAAGUUACGGUGUUUGAGUUUGCAGCAGUGUUCGUGUCACCGCAGUGACCACACAGUAAAGUGUACAUCUCAUGCUCCAUUACCCCUUAGUCAGAAAGAUGCGCACACAAACACACACUUGUGUAUACCCACUGGCCUGAUUGUGAUAAAUCGCUUGCGGUGGGAGGGAGAAUGCUAUUUCAAGGUGGUUUACAUUCUAAAACAGUGUGGGUCAUAGGGUCACUGUUAACCUGGAUGACUGCCCAGAAAACCAAACAUAUCAAAAUUUACAGGCUGCUUCACGCUGGUUUCCCCUGUCUGUGUUGCGGCUUUGUCGAAUUGAGGAGGAGAACAGAUUGCCCCCCUACGUGAUCUGAGUGACAAUAAGUGUUACUGACAAGUUUAUUUGCAUGUGUUUUUAGUGGCAUUGCUGAACAACCCUCAAACAACCAGAUAUCCUCCCCCAAUACACCAAAAUAUCACUCACUGCUGCUCCCUGAGGACCAGGAGGACCAGGCAUCCCAGCAUGCCCAGGGCCACCCUGCAUGAAAGAGAGCAAAAGAGGAAUAAAUUGCCAUCGUAUUGAAGCUACACCUCAUUAUCACCAUUGGCACUCACUUACCUUGACUCCAGGAAUACCAGGUGUGCCAUCUUUCCCAUCAAUACCCGGCAGACCCUGAAAAAGCAGGCAGAUGAGUGAGUGGACUUCAUUUGGCACACUGUCUGAUCACCUCCACUGCUGUGCAGAGCACAAACAAAAGUGCGUUCACUCACAUUCUCUCCCUUUUUGCCAACUGCACCCUGUGGGCCCUGGAUACCUCGACUGCCCUGCAGAAGAUAACCAAAUCAGUCUCAGUGUAUUCACAAUGCACAUCAGGGUCAUUGUUUCCAUUCAAGUUCGAAAAAAUAUUUCAUCUUCUUUUUUUUUCCUUUUUUUUUCUCCACAUGUGCCACUGCUUUGACAAUAAACUUCAAGGGAAAACACAAGGAAAGUCACCCACUUUGUCUCCCUUGUCUCCUGCCUCUCCGGGUGGUCCCUGAGGUCCCUCCUCACCCUGCAAAAAAAAUGAAGAGGCUCAGACUAUCUAAGGUCAACAUUUAGACGCUUGCCUUUGGGCCAGGGCUCCCGAUGGGACCUCGAUCACCUUUUGCUCCAAUCAAACCCUGCAGACAGACGGAAAGGGAUGAAAGCAGGAAGUUUGUCUUCCCACACGACUGGAUGAAGCUGCUGGAGUUGGCCUGCUAAAAGGUGAUCAGCUUAACAGAUUGCUAUAAUCAUGAGCGCCUGGUUUCAAAUGAGGCAGAAAACUUAUAAAGACACACAUUUGUAAUUUAAACAUUUUUCCCCUUAUUAUUAUUAUUUUUAUUUAUUUAUUUAUUUAUUUUUUUUUACACAUUUAGCCUCUCGGAUUAGGUAAAAUAGCCACAAAAAAGGUUCAUAGCAUCCCAUAUACCAUAGUGAUCCACUCCUGCCUGCAGGUGCAGAAGAGCUGCUUACUGAGUUUACUCUGAGCAGCAGGCAUGGAAGUAAAUUACUAUACAACCGAUUUGUGGAUCUUUACCACUUCUGUCAACUGGUCUGACUCACUGCUGUGCCACUUCCCUGUCUUGUCUGUCCAUGUAUUCUCAGUGUUCUCUCUUUGAGCCACAGUGUUAUCAGUUGUGGAUUUUUCACCUUGUGAUAUUGCAGUAUUCUGUCUGAUUAGCAAACAAAAGUUAGGAGGGCAGGUUGGCAAUGUUAGCUGACACUGGUUCAACAAAUUGGUUGGGCACUUUAGAGCUAGUGCAAUCCAGCUUUAGCUAAUGGAAAGUUUGUUUGGAAAUAGUUGACCAAGGAAGCUCAUUCAACACACAACCUGUGUUUGUGUAUAUUCUAUUUUCAGUUAGUGGUCACAGUUUAGCUGAAUGGCAUGUUUCUCACCCUUCUAAAUAGUCAUUCUCUUGUGUGUCAGCCGAAAAGGGAAAAGAUUUUUGACAGGUUCAACUGAAGCAACUCAAAGUUGGGGCUCUAAAAAAUCUGGGAUUGUUUCAUUAUUUAUUUUUGUCAGGAAGAAAAUGGUAAAAUGUUCAUUAAUACAGUUUGCAAGGACUGUAUAAAGCUAAAUUCAUUUUAAAUAUAUAUAUGUGUGUGUGUGUGUAUUUUUUUCUAUAACAUGGAUAUUUAUCUUUUUUUAUAUUUUAGGUAUGCAAGCCAUUUUUUUGCACUCAGGAAGCAAGUCAUUUUGCACAAUGUAAAUGUAAAUAUUACAUCAUAGAUUUUCUGCAUCAUUCAAUCUUUGUACACUGUAUUUUUCUACAAUAUAUAUUUAUAUUUUGCACAUUCUCUAAGUCUAGUCUUUCUGCGAAAAGUUUUUGUAUCUCUCUAUCUGUCUGUCUGUCUGUCUGUCUGUCUGUCUGUCUGUCUGUCUGUCUGUCUGUCUGUCUGUCUGUCUGUCUAUCUAUUUAUCUAUCUAUCGAUCUAUCUAUCUGUCUGUCUGUCUGUCUGUCUAUCUAUCUAUCUAUCUAUCUAUCUAUCUAGUGAGCCAACAACAAGCAACACGUGACAGCAAAGCAAGGCAAACUCACAAAUUCACAUUACCACACUCACACAGAAAUACCUCUAUCAUUUUCAGUCUUCUGAAAAGUUUCACACUAAUGAGCUCCAAUUAGUGACCAUGUUACCACCUCCACAACCGGACACUAGCAGCCUACACUAAUUGUGCACAUGUCCAUGUACACACACAAACACGGACACAAACUCAAAAAACACAACAAGAGUUCCCCCCAGGCUGAAAAAGAGCAAAGUGGAAAACUGCACCCAGGUGCCGGUGUCAGGAAAAGGAAACGGACUACUGAGUAUGUGCGAGGUCAGGGGUCAUAUUAUGUGUUCCAUGUGAA
Long non-coding RNA from Amphiprion ocellaris (clown anemonefish), 4436 nucleotides. RefSeq lists it as uncharacterized. The transcript is spliced from 3 exons. Lineage: Eukaryota; Metazoa; Chordata; Actinopteri; Pomacentridae. The record is from RefSeq and is a predicted model, not a curated record.